This 216-nucleotide ribosomal RNA is filed under the name Triticum aestivum (bread wheat). RNAcentral describes it as "partial small subunit ribosomal RNA". The record is from RNAcentral. Lineage: Eukaryota; Viridiplantae; Streptophyta; Magnoliopsida; Poales; Poaceae.
AUGAGUCUCAUCUGCUGGAACUAUCGAGGCCUGGGGUCGGACUCGACAGUUGGCGAGCUUCGCUGGCUUGUAAAGCUUUACCGACCCUUCCUCCUAUUUCUGUCCGAGACAAAGAUGAGGGAUUAGAGAGUGAAGAAUUUCAUGUGGUCUUUGGGUUUCUCUGGAUGUUAUGCUGCCAGCAUUGAUGGCCUCAGCGGGGGUCUGGCUCUUUUAUGG